RNAcentral lists this ribosomal RNA (492 nucleotides) under uncultured bacterium. RNAcentral describes it as "partial 16S ribosomal RNA". It matches the Rfam family "Bacterial small subunit ribosomal RNA", at positions 29 to 507 of the family's 1533-position model. The record is from RNAcentral.
AGUGAACGCUGGCGGUAGGCCUAACACAUGCAAGUCGAACGGCAGCACAGUAAGAGCUUGCUCUUACGGGUGGCGAGUGGCGGACGGGUGAGGAAUACAUCGGAAUCUACUUUUUCGUGGGGGAUAACGUAGGGAAACUUACGCUAAUACCGCAUACGACCUACGGGUGAAAGCAGGGGUUCUUCGGACCUUGCCCGAUUGAAUGAGCCGAUGUCGGAUUAGCUAGUUGGCGGGGUAAAGGCCCACCAAGGCGACGAUCCGUAGCUGGUCUGAGAGGAUGAUCAGCCACACUGGAACUGAGACACGGUCCAGACUCCUACGGGAGGCAGCAGUGGGGAAUAUUGGACAAUGGGCGCAAGCCUGAUCCAGCCAUACCGCGUGGGUGAAGAAGGCCUUCGGGUUGUAAAGCCCUUUUGUUGGGAAAGAAAAGCAGCAGGUUAAUACCCCGCUGUUCUGACGGUACCCAAAGAAUAAGCACCGGCUAACUUCGUG